Molecule: small nuclear RNA, 172 nt
Organism: Argentina anserina (silverweed cinquefoil)
Lineage: Eukaryota; Viridiplantae; Streptophyta; Magnoliopsida; Rosales; Rosaceae
Product: U1 spliceosomal RNA
Exons: 1
Source: RefSeq, a predicted model, not a curated record
AUACUUACCUGGACUGGGUAGAUGGGCGAUCAAGAAGGCUCAUGGCCUGGGCAAGUGACCUCCAUUGCACUUAGGCGGGGUGCUUGCUUAAGGUCUCCCCAAGAGGGAGAGCCUACGUCAUAAUUUCGUCAUAAUUUGUUGCCAGGGGGGUUUGCGUACGCGCAGCCCCUGC